Molecule: transfer RNA, 77 nt
Filed under: Candidatus Obscuribacterales bacterium
Lineage: Bacteria; Bacillati; Candidatus Melainabacteria; Candidatus Obscuribacterales
Description: tRNA-Phe
Rfam family: tRNA
About the family: Transfer RNA (tRNA) molecules are approximately 80 nucleotides in length. Their secondary structure includes four short double-helical elements and three loops (D, anti-codon, and T loops).
Source: RNAcentral
GCUUAGGUAGCUCCAAAUGGUAGAGCGGCAGGUUGAAGCCCUGCGCGUUGUUGGUUCGACCCCGACCCUAAGCACCA